GGGGUUGUAGCUCAGUGGUAGAGCACUUGCCUAGCAUGUAUGAGACCCUGGGUUCAAUCCUCAGCACCACA
This 71-nucleotide transfer RNA is filed under the name Marmota monax (woodchuck). RNAcentral's name for it is "tRNA.Ala". It matches the Rfam family "tRNA". From Rfam's summary of the family: Transfer RNA (tRNA) molecules are approximately 80 nucleotides in length. The record is from RNAcentral. Lineage: Eukaryota; Metazoa; Chordata; Mammalia; Rodentia; Sciuridae.